Molecule: ribosomal RNA, 497 nt
Filed under: uncultured bacterium
Lineage: Bacteria
Description: partial 16S ribosomal RNA
Rfam family: Bacterial small subunit ribosomal RNA
Source: RNAcentral
GAUGAACGCUGGCGGCGUGCCUAAUACAUGCAAGUCGAGCGAACGGACGAGAAGCUUGCUUUUCUGAUGUUAGCGGCGGACGGGUGAGUAACACGUGGAUAACCUACCUAUAAGACUGGGAUAACUUCGGGAAACCGGAGCUAAUACCGGAUAAUAUUUUGAACCGCAUGGUUCAAAAGUGAAAGACGGUCUUGCUGUCACUUAUAGAUGGAUCCGCGCUGCAUUAGCUAGUUGGUAAGGUAACGGCUUACCAAGGCAACGAUGCAUGGCCGACCUGAGAGGGUGAUCGGCCACACUGGAACUGAGACACGGUCCAGACUCCUACGGGAGGCAGCAGUAGGGAAUCUUCCGCAAUGGGCCAAAGCCUGACGGAGCAACGCCGCGUGAGUGAUGAAGGUCUUCGGAUCGUAAAACUCUGUUAUUAGGGAAGAACAUAUGUGUAAGUAACUGUGCACAUCUUGACGGUACCUAAUCAGAAAGCCACGGCUAACUACGUG